UACGGAGGGCGCAAGCGUUGUUCGGAAUCACUGGGCGUAAAGCGCGUGUAGGCGGCUUUGCAAGUCGGGUGUGAAAGCCCGGGGCCUAACCCCGGAACUGCAUUCGAAACUGCCUGGCUCGAGUCCCGGAGAGGGUGGCGGAAUUCCCGGUGUAGGGGUGAAAUACGUAGAUAUCGGGAGGAACAUCAGUGGCGAAGGCGGCCACCUGGACGGUGACUGACGCUGAGACGCGAAAGCGUGGGGAGUAAACAGG
This 253-nucleotide ribosomal RNA is filed under the name uncultured bacterium. RNAcentral's name for it is "partial 16S ribosomal RNA". It matches the Rfam family "Bacterial small subunit ribosomal RNA", at positions 524 to 776 of the family's 1533-position model. The record is from RNAcentral.